CAUCUGGUAGCAAAGUAUUAGAAUGUAUAAAUUAUUUUAUCUUUCUAUAAUAUAGAUAAAGCUAAAGCAGCGGUUAUUUUAUAAUUAGCGUAUAUAACAUUUUUCAUUUUUAAUGUGGUAAACGUCUUGAAUUUAAUUGGCAAUGUGAAAACUAUCAAGACUAGGAUAACAAUCAUUGCGAAGAGAAGUUGCAAUGAAAAUAUAUUUUCUUUUCCUGGUAAACUGGCAUCCGGUAAUUAUCGUUUGCGAUAAAGAACAAAUUCGGCUACUUCGAAAUGCAGUAGAACAUUAUGCUGAUUGUACAGAUGAAAAGCAGUCUUACUGGAUAAUUAUUACUGAUACUAUUGGAAUUCAUUUUUAAGGGAAAAAGAAGAAGAAUGUAAAGAAAGGAUUCCAUAACAUAAAGAAUGCAAUCGUCUGUUAAAGAAGAGGAAACAUCUUUUGUGACUGAUAUAUGCUCCAAAGAAAUUAAAGAUGACAUUCAUAUCCAGAAUAAUGAUUCAAAUAUCAAAAGGUACACUACUCGUAAGAGUAAGAGGGCUUUUACUUGUGACGUUUGUGGCAUAACAUUUUCUGGUAAAGGUAAUUUAAUUCGACAUUACCAUACUCAUACAAAUCAAAAACCUUUUGUAUGCAACAUAUGUAGUAGAGGUUUUAAUGAUAAAAGUAAUUUAUUUCGACAUUAUCGUAUUCAUACAAAUGAAAAAAUUUAUUCUUGUGAUAUAUGUAACAAAGAAUUUUCUCAGAAAUCUCAUUUAAAUUAUCAUCAUCAGACUCAUACAAAUGAAAAAUCUUUUGUUUGUGAUUUCUGUGGUAAAGGAUUUUCCCAGAAAUCCAGUUUAAAGACGCAUCUCCUUAUACAUACGAACGAAACACCGUAUUCUUGUGAUGUAUGCAAUAAAGCAUUUUCUCAGAAACGCCUUUUAAACAAGCAUUAUCGUAUUCAUAAGAAAGUGAAGAUUCAUUAUUGUGAUGUAUGCAAUAAAACAUUUUUUGAGAAACGUCGUUUAACCGCCCAUUCUCGAAUUCAUACAGACGAAAAACCUUAUUCUUGUGAAUUAUGCAGUAAAACAUUUUCGCUGAAAAGUUAUUUAAAACAACACAUUCGUUAUCAUACUAAGGUGAAACCUUUCAUUUGUCAAAUAUGUAAUAUGGCAUUUUCUAAAAAAGGUAAUCGUGAUAGACAUUAUCAGGUACAUAAGAAUUCAAAUUCAUCCACAUAAUAUUUAAAAAUAUCUUCCACCGAAAAUCAUAUAGUUAUAUAUAAAUGUAUUUUUAUUUUACAAAUACUUUUGUCUUUCAAAAUUUGUGAAAACAUCUUGCAAACUUAUGAGUAAAUAAAAUCAAAUUUAUUUA
This is a long non-coding RNA of Argiope bruennichi, 1356 nucleotides long. RefSeq lists it as uncharacterized. The transcript is spliced from 2 exons. Lineage: Eukaryota; Metazoa; Arthropoda; Arachnida; Araneae; Araneidae. The record is from RefSeq and is a predicted model, not a curated record.